AUAAGGGCUGAGGAGAGGGUAAGAAGAUUCACUGAUUUGGGCGGAUUCAGGGAUGUAGGAGUAUUCUACAAGAUUUUCAAUUUUAUUAGUAGUAUGAGAAGUGCAAGAUUUCGGUAAAGAAAGGGUGGAAGAAAGAGUAACAGGAGGUGAAGAGGAAGUGGAUGCCAUGAAGGAGAAGUUCUCUCUGCGCCUGAAGUGCUAGAGAUCAAAAUAGAAAAAGCCUUAAAUUAUACCAUUUUGGGCAAGAAAUCGUGAAUUUAGAAAACAUGAAAUUUUCAAGGAUGGGUAUGGCUCUGAUACCAGUUAUGGUGAAGUACGUGGCGUUGUUAUACCAGAACUACAACAGUUAAAACUGUUCUUUGGACCAGUAGUCCGCAAGCUCGGGUUUCCAGCCGAUAUACCUCUGUAAUCAAAAACCUUUAAAACAUUUUUCUCAGGUUAUACAACCCAAAACAGACUUUCCUUUAGUCUAAAACAGGGUACCAAACCAGAUAAGAAAUGAUCAAAAGUUUUCUGAUGCACAGGAUCCUUAGAAAAGGCA
This 541-nucleotide long non-coding RNA is filed under the name Citrus x clementina. Its description in RNAcentral is "Citrus clementina (C. clementina) long non-coding RNA (CCLE_LNC001748)". The record is from RNAcentral. Lineage: Eukaryota; Viridiplantae; Streptophyta; Magnoliopsida; Sapindales; Rutaceae.